UGGGGAAUAUUGCACAAUGGGCGCAAGCCUGAUGCAGCUAUGCCGCGUGUGUGAAGAAGGCCUUCGGGUUGUAAAGCACUUUCAGCGAGGAGGAAGGUGGUGAACUUAAUACGUUCAUCAAUUGACGUUACUCGCAGAAGAAGCACCGGCUAACUCCGUGCCAGCAGCCGCGGUAAUACGGAGGGUGCAAGCGUUAAUCGGAAUUACUGGGCGUAAAGCGCACGCAGGCGGUUUGUUAAGUCAGAUGUGAAAUCCCCGGGCUCAACCUGGGAACUGCAUUUGAAACUGGCAAGCUAGAGUCUCGUAGAGGGGGGUAGAAUUCCAGGUGUAGCGGUGAAAUGCGUAGAGAUCUGGAGGAAUACCGGUGACGAAGGCGGCCCCCUGGANGAAGACUGACGCUCAGGUGCGAAAGCGUGGGGAGCAAACAGAUUAGNUACCCUGGUAGUCACGCCUGUAAACGAUGUCGAUUUUGGAGGUUGUG
Molecule: ribosomal RNA, 481 nt
Filed under: uncultured bacterium
Lineage: Bacteria
Description: partial 16S ribosomal RNA
Rfam family: Bacterial small subunit ribosomal RNA
Source: RNAcentral